This 460-nucleotide ribosomal RNA is filed under the name uncultured bacterium. Its description in RNAcentral is "partial 16S ribosomal RNA". It matches the Rfam family "Bacterial small subunit ribosomal RNA", at positions 338 to 795 of the family's 1533-position model. The record is from RNAcentral.
CCUACGGGGGGCAGCAGUGAGGAAUAUUGGUCAAUGGACGAGAGUCUGAACCAGCCAAGUAGCGUGAAGGAUGACUGCCCUAUGGGUUGUAAACUUCUUUUAUAUGGGAAUAAAAUGUUCCACGUGUGGGAUUUUGUAUGUACCAUAUGAAUAAGGAUCGGCUAACUCCGUGCCAGCAGCCGCGGUAAUACGGAGGAUCCGAGCGUUAUCCGGAUUUAUUGGGUUUAAAGGGAGCGUAGGUGGAUUGUUAAGUCAGUUGUGAAAGUUUGCGGCUCAACCGUAACAUUGCAGUUGAAACUGGCAGUCUUGAGUACAGUAGAGGUGGGCGGAAUUCGUGGUGUAGCGGUGAAAUGCUUAGAUAUCACGAAGAACUCCGAUUGCGAAGGCAGUUCACUGAACUGCAACUGACACUGAGGCUCGAAAGUGUGGGUAUCAAACAGGAUUAGAUACCCUAGUAGUC